This 93-nucleotide transfer RNA is filed under the name Ralstonia syzygii subsp. syzygii. Its description in RNAcentral is "tRNA-His". The record is from RNAcentral. Lineage: Bacteria; Pseudomonadati; Pseudomonadota; Betaproteobacteria; Burkholderiales; Burkholderiaceae.
GCCGGCGGGCAGCCGGCAGCCACUGCUUGCGCUCGUGGAGCGCACGCUCGACGCGCUGCCCGGCGAGCGCAUCGUUCCACCGAUGCGGCAGUU